Molecule: ribosomal RNA, 317 nt
Filed under: uncultured eukaryote
Lineage: Eukaryota
Description: partial 18S ribosomal RNA
Rfam family: Eukaryotic small subunit ribosomal RNA
Source: RNAcentral
CCCUUAGAUGUUCUGGGCCGCACGCGCGCUACACUGAUUCAUGCAACGAGUUUUGUCCUUGGCUGAAAGGCCUGGGUAAUCUUUGAACGUGAAUCGUGCUGGGGAUAGAUGAUUGCAAUUAUUCAUCUUCAACGAGGAAUUCCUAGUAAACGCAAGUCAUCAGCUUGCAUUGAUUACGUCCCUGCCCUUUGUACACACCGCCCGUCGCUCCUACCGAUUUCGAGUGAUCCGGUGAACCUUUUGGACCGCUGGCACCUCGUGUGCUGCGCGGGAAAUCAAGUAAACCAUAUCACUUAGAGGAAGGAGAAGUCGUAACA